This 395-nucleotide ribosomal RNA is filed under the name Salmonella enterica subsp. enterica serovar Mikawasima. RNAcentral's name for it is "partial 23S ribosomal RNA". It matches the Rfam family "Bacterial large subunit ribosomal RNA", at positions 163 to 585 of the family's 2925-position model. The record is from RNAcentral. Lineage: Bacteria; Pseudomonadati; Pseudomonadota; Gammaproteobacteria; Enterobacterales; Enterobacteriaceae.
UCCAUAGGUUAAUGAGGCGAACCGGGGGAACUGAAACAUCUAAGUACCCCGAGGAAAAGAAAUCAACCGAGAUUCCCCCAGUAGCGGCGAGCGAACGGGGAGGAGCCCAGAGCCUGAAUCAGCAUGUGUGUUAGUGGAAGCGUCUGGAAAGGCGCGCGAUACAGGGUGACAGCCCCGUACACAAAAGCGCAUGUGCUGUGAGCUCGAUGAGUAGGGCGGGACACGUGGUAUCCUGUCUGAAUAUGGGGGGACCAUCCUCCAAGGCUAAAUACUCCUGACUGACCGAUAGUGAACCAGUACCGUGAGGGAAAGGCGAAAAGAACCCCGGCGAGGGGAGUGAAAAAGAACCUGAAACCGUGUACGUACAAGCAGUGGGAGCCCCACCACCAAAGCAU